CGAGUCGGGAUUGGAUCUCAGUCGAAUCGAGUCGAACGUCAAUCGAAGGUCGCUUAAGUAAAAUUAGGAGAAUCGUCAUCGGCCGUUGUUACGGGUAGUUAGAUACCAGAGAAUCUUAUAUCUUAUAAACCUACCUUUUAUCGGGUAGGUAGGUGGACGUCUGACAGGCUGUCGUUCCAUAUAAAACAUUUAGAAGAGAAUAUGACCCCAGCUAGGGUCUCUCAGGUAGGGUAUCUCAGGAUAUGUCCUAAGACCUUAAGAUUUUUGGUCUCUCCUCUGGAUUGCGACCGGACAUCUUAGGAUUUUUUAAUGGAUCUAUUCUAAUCUUUGGACUUUUUAUUAUGCCCUAUCAAACCACUCUUUUUUUAACGACGUCAAAAAUCAUCAAAUGACCCCUCCCGCUGUGGGUUAGCAGCGGUGAGGGAUUGUCAGACUCUUACUGACUAAAAACCAUCGAGUUCCGUCGUAGGCCUUUUAUGUACCAGGGCCGCGGUAACUCUUUCGAACAAUCCCGCAGCCCCGGCAGAUCUUGGUCCUGUUGGGCCCACCAUGUCCCCCUAACCGCAACAUAUUUAGAAAAAAGCUAGGCAAAUCAGACUUACAUGAACUUCAUAUAAUCCAUCUUGCACGUUCAUCUCGCUACUGGUAAAGUUGGCAGCAUAAGGAAUGCCGUCGUCCCUCUGGCUGACGAAGGCGAGUGCCAGCGCGUCUCCCUGCAGCUCGCGCCGCCAUACCUCCAGGCGAGACCGCUGCACAAGGUGCAAGGAUUCAUUACGAAAGAUAGGAUGAAAGACGGCCUGUACCCAAUAGUGCAAGUACUGAAUCUGCAACUUUGGGCUUAACACAAUAUAUAAGAGGAAAUAAUAUUGUUGCCAGUUUCUCUAGAGAAUAAAGAAAGUAAAUUGUUAAAGAAGAUCUCUCAGAAAAGAAAACCGGAUCAAAAGGGUUCUAAGUGUUUUCUACAAAAACACAUAUAGAAGAAUUGCCUGUAUGUAUUUCAGAUAGUCCUCUACAACCACUCAUGUUAUUUUUCUUCUCAGCGAAUCGCACAAUAAAUUAUACUUUCAAAGAAA
This is a long non-coding RNA of Helicoverpa zea (corn earworm), 1073 nucleotides long. RefSeq lists it as uncharacterized. The record is from RefSeq and is a predicted model, not a curated record. The transcript is spliced from 2 exons. NCBI's taxonomy places the organism in Eukaryota, Metazoa, Arthropoda, Insecta, Lepidoptera, Noctuidae.